This 541-nucleotide transfer RNA is filed under the name uncultured cyanobacterium. RNAcentral's name for it is "partial miscellaneous RNA". The stretch from base 212 to 284 matches the Rfam family "tRNA". The record is from RNAcentral. Lineage: Bacteria; Bacillati; Cyanobacteriota.
CAGGGAGACAACAAAAUGUUUAAUAUUAUUAUUUUGUCACCUUAGGUCGAUCGGUAUCUCACGUUCUUAAUUUAUUAAGAAUUUCAUUUUCUAAGUUUUUCUAGGUCACACCCAUUAUUUUUCCUGGGCCAUUAGCUCAGGUGGUUAGAGCGCACCCCUGAUAAGGGUGAGGUCCCUGGUUCAAGUCCAGGAUGGCCCAUAUCUCUAUGUUGGGGGUAUAGCUCAGUUGGUAGAGCGCCUGCUUUGCAAGCAGGAUGUCAGCGGUUCGAGUCCGCUUACCUCCACUGAUUACCACCUCUUCCAUAACCGGUAGAAAGGAAAUUUUUUGAGUUGUGAUCAAAUUCUGAAAGAAUCUAGCUUCCUAAUGAAAUCAUUAAGAUGCUGGAUUCAUUGAAUUAAUUUCAUUGUUUUCAGAGAACCUUGACAACUGCAUAGAUUAUUUUUAAAGACAAUAAGCAUCUUUAAUGAUGCAGAUUUAUUAUUUGUGCGAAUGCAUUAAUAACAAUUCUAUUAAGCUGAUGCUUCAAUUUUUGAAGUUAUU